This 86-nucleotide transfer RNA is filed under the name Bracteacoccus minor. RNAcentral describes it as "tRNA-Ser". It matches the Rfam family "tRNA". Rfam says of the family: Transfer RNA (tRNA) molecules are approximately 80 nucleotides in length. Their secondary structure includes four short double-helical elements and three loops (D, anti-codon, and T loops). Further hydrogen bonds mediate the characteristic L-shaped molecular structure. tRNAs have two regions of fundamental functional importance: the anti-codon, which is responsible for specific mRNA codon recognition, and the 3' end, to which the tRNAs corresponding amino acid is attached (by aminoacyl-tRNA synthetases). tRNAs cope with the degeneracy of the genetic code in two manners: having more than one tRNA (with a specific anti-codon) for a particular amino acid; and 'wobble' base-pairing, i.e. permitting non-standard base-pairing at the 3rd anti-codon position. The record is from RNAcentral. Lineage: Eukaryota; Viridiplantae; Chlorophyta; Chlorophyceae; Sphaeropleales; Bracteacoccaceae.
GGAGAAAUGGCUGAGUGGCUGAAAGCGUAGGCUUGCUAAGCCUUUGUAUCUGUUUUGAUACCGUAGGUUCGAAUCCUACUUUCUCC